RNAcentral lists this ribosomal RNA (449 nucleotides) under uncultured bacterium. RNAcentral describes it as "partial 16S ribosomal RNA". It matches the Rfam family "Bacterial small subunit ribosomal RNA", at positions 29 to 523 of the family's 1533-position model. The record is from RNAcentral.
AGCGAACGCUGGCGGCAGGCCUAGCACAUGCAAGUCGAACGGAUCCUUCGGGAUUAGUGGCGGACGGGUGAGUAACACGUGGGAACGUGCCCUUUGGUUCGGAACAACUCAGGGAAACUUGAGCUAAUACCGGAUGUGCCCUUCGGGGGAAAGAUUUAUCGCCAUUGGAGCGGCCCGCGUCUGAUUAGCUAGUUGGUGAGGUAAAGGCUCACCAAGGCGACGAUCAGUAGCUGGUCUGAGAGGAUGAUCAGCCACAUUGGGACUGAGACACGGCCCAAACACCUACGGGAGGCAGCAGUGGGGAAUCUGGCGCAAUGGGCGAAAGCCUGACGAAGCCAUGCCGCGUGAGUGAUGAAGGUCUUAGGAUUGUAAAAUUCUUUCACCGGGGACGAUAAUGACGGUACCCGGAGAAGAAGCCCCGGCUAACUUCGUGCCAGCCGCCGCCGUAA